This 345-nucleotide long non-coding RNA is filed under the name Mytilus galloprovincialis (Mediterranean mussel). Lineage: Eukaryota; Metazoa; Mollusca; Bivalvia; Mytilida; Mytilidae. The record is from RNAcentral.
AAAGAGUUCUAUCAGGAGGCCGAUUUUAACACCUUUAUCCCGGGAAUGAUGGAAACGUUACAAGGAACAAUGUCAUCACUAUUUAUGGGACUUGGGAAGUCCUUGAACGGACAGAAAACACCAGGGAAAAAGGGAGGAGAGGAAGAAUGUUCAGUAAUGUGAAAGAAAAAGGAAAAGAAUGAAGCAUAUUUUUUUUUUAUCUCUUUUCUCCUGCAUUUAUCAUAAAAACUACUGGCAUUUACUUUCAAAAGCGGGACAACAUGUCUCCUAAACUAGACACAGUCUACUAUUGUGUUUGUCCUAAGGAGAGACUCACAUAUUCAAAGGGUGUUUUAUAGCCUUUUU